CGAGGGAUCUGUGGAUCGAGCCUCUUCAGCUCCUCCUGCGCCGCUGCUAGAUAAACUGCUCACUCGCUACCUAUAUAUAGCUUACCAAGAUCUCUCUUGAAUCUGAAUAACUUUAAUCCUUUCAUCAGAUCAAGAGAACGAAGAUCUCUGCUUCCAAGAUUUGGCCAGCAAUAUGGCGAGCGAUGAUCCUGUCGAUGAUGAAAACCCUACAUCUCACACUAAUAACAACAUCAGUAGUGAUAACAAGAACGAACAAAUGUCCAGGGUAGUUUCAUCCCAUGAUCAGUACACAAGGACGGUGUUUGACUUCGUCCACACCGACAAAACCACCACCAAAUCUUCCCGUCAACCCCGAUUGCAAGGACAAGCUAGCGUGGCCGCUCCUGCAUAGCCUAUGAACCGGUACUAUCCCGAUUGAGCUUUCCAUUCCACAAAACCUCUCCUCUACAGCCUCGGUUGAUUCGUACGUUCGUUUCUUCUGGUUUCUCGUACUAGAACUAAUAUUCUUGACCUUGUAAGGCCUCUUCUUGACCUUGUAAGGCCCUGCCUCUGCGGCUGGCUCCUCCUCGCACCUCUUGCUUGUUUCUUCCCUGCUAUCCCCGGAAUCAGUCUCACCAUCAUCGUGUUCAUGAGGCUCCCGCAACAUCCUAUUUCCCGCUCCCUUCUAUCCCUCCUGAGCUAUCUCAUCCCAUGCAUGUAACCAUGUUUGUUUGUAUAGAGUGUUGUAUUAAUAGAUUUCUAGUUUAUUUGUAAGAGUAAUAAUCCGGUUUCUUUCUUUCGUGGAGGCAAUACCCGCACGUUUGUACUGCCCGGUUUGAAAAGAGGCAUGAGAGAUGCC
Long non-coding RNA from Panicum hallii, 838 nucleotides. RefSeq lists it as uncharacterized. Lineage: Eukaryota; Viridiplantae; Streptophyta; Magnoliopsida; Poales; Poaceae. The record is from RefSeq and is a predicted model, not a curated record. The transcript has 3 exons.